Molecule: non-coding RNA, 152 nt
Filed under: Dehalococcoidia bacterium
Lineage: Bacteria; Bacillati; Chloroflexota; Dehalococcoidia
Source: RNAcentral
CGAAUAGUCGUUGGCAAGGGUGCCCCGCAUGGCCUCCGCCUGAAGCGGAGGCCGGGGUUAAAAGCGAAGCCGGUGUGAGGCCGGCGCUGUCCCGCAACUGUAGUCCGCCUUGGGCGGAGAGUCAGGUCGCCUGCCCUUGUCAGAUGCACCAG